AUUGAACGCUGGCGGCAGGCCUAACACAUGCAAGUCGAACGGUAACAGAAAGCAGCUUGCUGCUUUGCUGACGAGUGGCGGACGGGUGAGUAAUGUCUGGGAAACUGCCCGAUGGAGGGGGAUAACUACUGGAAACGGUAGCUAAUACCGCAUAACGUCGCAAGACCAAAGAGGGGGACCUUCGGGCCUCUUGCCAUCGGAUGUGCCCAGAUGGGAUUAGCUAGUAGGUGGGGUAACGGCUCACCUAGGCGACGAUCCCUAGCUGGUCUGAGAGGAUGACCAGCCACACUGGAACUGAGACACGGUCCAGACUCCUACGGGAGGCAGCAGUGGGGAAUAUUGCACAAUGGGCGCAAGCCUGAUGCAGCCAUGCCGCGUGUAUGAAGAAGGCCUUCGGGUUGUAAAGUACUUUCAGCGGGGAGGAAGGGAGUAAAGUUAAUACCU
This 444-nucleotide ribosomal RNA is filed under the name Enterobacter hormaechei. RNAcentral describes it as "bacterial SSU rRNA". It matches the Rfam family "Bacterial small subunit ribosomal RNA", at positions 30 to 468 of the family's 1533-position model. Lineage: Bacteria; Pseudomonadati; Pseudomonadota; Gammaproteobacteria; Enterobacterales; Enterobacteriaceae. The record is from RNAcentral.